This 253-nucleotide ribosomal RNA is filed under the name uncultured bacterium. Its description in RNAcentral is "partial 16S ribosomal RNA". It matches the Rfam family "Bacterial small subunit ribosomal RNA", at positions 524 to 776 of the family's 1533-position model. The record is from RNAcentral.
UACGUAGAGGGCAAGCGUUAUCCGGAUUUACUGGGUGUAAAGGGAGCGUAGACGGCGAUGCAAGUCUGAAGUGAAAGGCGGGGGCCCAACCCCCGGACUGCUUUGGAAACUGUAUGACUGGAGUGCAGGAGAGGUAAGUGGAAUUCCUAGUGUAGCGGUGAAAUGCGUAGAUAUUAGGAGGAACACCAGUGGCGAAGGCGGCUUACUGGACUGUAACUGACGUUGAGGCUCGAAAGCGUGGGGAGCAAACAGG